This 253-nucleotide ribosomal RNA is filed under the name uncultured bacterium. Its description in RNAcentral is "partial 16S ribosomal RNA". It matches the Rfam family "Bacterial small subunit ribosomal RNA", at positions 524 to 776 of the family's 1533-position model. The record is from RNAcentral.
UACAGAGGGGGCGAGCGUUGUUCGGAAUUACUGGGCGUAAAGCGCACGUAGGCGGCUAUUCAAGUCAGAGGUGAAAGCCCGGGGCUCAACCCCGGAACUGCCUUUGAAACUAGGUAGCUAGAAUCUUGGAGAGGUCAGUGGAAUUCCGAGUGUAGAGGUGAAAUUCGUAGAUAUUCGGAGGAACACCAGUGGCGAAGGCGACUGACUGGACAAGUAUUGACGCUGAGGUGCGAAAGCGUGGGGAGCAAACAGG